This 885-nucleotide long non-coding RNA is filed under the name Lactuca sativa (garden lettuce). Its description in RNAcentral is "long non-coding RNA (LSAT_LNC004713)". The record is from RNAcentral. Lineage: Eukaryota; Viridiplantae; Streptophyta; Magnoliopsida; Asterales; Asteraceae.
AGAAGUUGGCCUACAUGUACAUCCACGAGAUCGUGGCACGCCAUGGGGUUCCGGUCUCCAUUAUCUCUGACCGGGAUGUUAGGUUCACCUCUCAGUUCUGGCAGAAGUUCCGUGAGGAACUGGGCAUACAGCUGCACUUUUGCAUGCGACCAGAGAACUGGAAGUUAGAUAGGAUCAAGGGUGAAAACACCCGCUUUGUGCAGGAUAUCCGGGGAUUAUUGACCCGAUGCAGUCGGGUAUGGGUUCCGAUGACUGGUGGGGUCAGAUAGACAGUCAUGGAGGAGGCUCAUAAGUCUCAUUUCUCUAUUCACCAGGGGGCCACCAAGAUGUUCCCAGAUUUGAAUUUGAGUUAUUGGUGGCCAUGUAUGAAGCUAGAAAUCGCUUGGUAUGUCGAGAGGUAUUUCACCUACAGGAUGGUCAAGGCCAAGCAUCAGAGGCCGUAUGGUACGUUGCAGCCUCUAGAGAUUCCCAUGUGGAAAUGGGAACAGAUCACGAUGGACUUCAUUACCAAGUUGCUGAGGACGGCAAAGGGAUUUGAUGCUAUAUGGGUCAAUGUAGAUCGAUUGACCAAGAGUGCCCAUUUCUUGGCAAUUCAGGAGAGUUCGUCGGCCGAGAAGUUGGCCUACAUGUACAUCCACGAGAUCGUGGCACGCCAUGGGGUUCCGGUCUCCAUUAUCUCUGACCGGGAUGUUAGGUUCACCUCUCAGUUCUGGCAGAAGUUCCGUGAGGAACUGGGCAUACAGCAGCACUUUUGCAUGCGACCAGAGAACUGGAAGUUAGAUAGGAUCAAGGGUGAAAACACCCGCUUUGUGCAGGAUAUCCGGGGAUUAUUGACCCGAUGCAGUCGGGUAUGGGUUCCGAUGAAUGGUGGGGUCAGAUAGACAG